RNAcentral lists this unclassified non-coding RNA (152 nucleotides) under uncultured Lecanorales. RNAcentral's name for it is "sequence contains ITS2". Lineage: Eukaryota; Fungi; Ascomycota; Lecanoromycetes. The record is from RNAcentral.
CACCCCUCAAGCGUAGCUUGGUAUUGGGCCCUCGCCUCCCCCGGCGUGCCCGAAAAGUAUUGGCGGUCCGGCGUGGCUUCAAGCGUAGUAAAAUUAUUCCCGCUUUGGAAGUCUCCACGUCUGACCCGCCAGACAACCCCAAUUAUUCAAUG